Molecule: ribosomal RNA, 302 nt
Filed under: uncultured Streptococcus sp.
Lineage: Bacteria; Bacillati; Bacillota; Bacilli; Lactobacillales; Streptococcaceae
Description: bacterial SSU rRNA
Rfam family: Bacterial small subunit ribosomal RNA
Source: RNAcentral
UUAAGUCCCGCAACGAGCGCAACCCCUACUUGUUAGUUGCCAUCAUUCAGUUGGGCACUCUAGCGAGACUGCCGGUAAUAAACCGGAGGAAGGUGGGGAUGACGUCAAAUCAUCAUGCCCCUUAUGACCUGGGCUACACACGUGCUACAAUGGUUGGUACAACGAGUUGCGAGUCGGUGACGGCGAGCUAAUCUCUUAAAGCCAAUCUCAGUUCGGAUUGUAGGCUGCAACUCGCCUACAUGAAGUCGGAAUCGCUAGUAAUCGCGGAUCAGCACGCCGCGGUGAAUACGUUCCCGGGCCUU